UACGUAUGGUGCAAGCGUUAUCCGGAUUUACUGGGUGUAAAGGGAGCGCAGGCGGAAGGCUAAGUCUGAUGUGAAAGCCCGGGGCUCAACCCCGGUACUGCAUUGGGAACUGGUCAUCUAGAGUGUCGGAGGGGUAAGUGGAAUUCCUAGUGUAGCGGUGAAAUGCGUAGAUAUUAGGAGGAACACCAGUGGCGAAGGCGGCUUACUGGACGAUAACUGACGCUGAGGCUCGAAAGCGUGGGGAGCAAACAGG
This 253-nucleotide ribosomal RNA is filed under the name Roseburia inulinivorans DSM 16841. RNAcentral describes it as "partial 16S ribosomal RNA". It matches the Rfam family "Bacterial small subunit ribosomal RNA", at positions 524 to 776 of the family's 1533-position model. The record is from RNAcentral. Lineage: Bacteria; Bacillati; Bacillota; Clostridia; Lachnospirales; Lachnospiraceae.